RNAcentral lists this ribosomal RNA (520 nucleotides) under uncultured bacterium. RNAcentral describes it as "partial 16S ribosomal RNA". It matches the Rfam family "Bacterial small subunit ribosomal RNA", at positions 355 to 891 of the family's 1533-position model. The record is from RNAcentral.
UGGGGAAUAUUGGACAAUGGGGGCAACCCUGAUCCAGCAAUGCCGCGUGUGUGAAGAAGGUCUUCGGAUUGUAAAGCACUUUCGACGGGGACGAUGAUGACGGUACCCGUAGAAGAAGCCCCGGCUAACUUCGUGCCAGCAGCCGCGGUAAUACGAAGGGGGCUAGCGUUGCUCGGAAUGACUGGGCGUAAAGGGCGUGUAGGCGGUUUACACAGUCAGAUGUGAAAUCCCCGGGCUUAACCUGGGAGCUGCAUUUGAUACGUGUAGACUAGAGUGUGAGAGAGGGUUGUGGAAUUCCCAGUGUAGAGGUGAAAUUCGUAGAUAUUGGGAAGAACACCGGUGGCGAAGGCGGCAACCUGGCUCAUGACUGACGCUGAGGCGCGAAAGCGUGGGGAGCAAACAGGAUUAGAUACCCUGGUAGUCCACGCUGUAAACGAUGUGUGCUAGAUGUUGGGUAACUUUGUUAUUCAGUGUCGCAGUUAACGCGUUAAGCACACCGCCUGGGGGAGUACGGCCGCAA